CCUACGGGUGGCAGCAGUGAGGAAUAUUGGUCAAUGGACGAGAGUCUGAACCAGCCAAGUAGCGUGAAGGAUGACUGCCCGAUGGGUUGUAAACUUCUUUUAUAGGGGAAUAAAAUGUUCCACGUGUGGGAUUUUGUAUGUACCAUAUGAAUAAGGAUCGGCUAACUCCGUGCCAGCAGCCGCGGUAAUACGGAGGAUCCGAGCGUUAUCCGGCUUUAUUGGGUUUAAAGGGAGCGUAGUUGGGUUGUUAAGUCAGUUGUGAAAGUUUGCGGCUCAACCGUAAAAUUGCCGUUGAAACUGGCAGUCUUGAGUACAGUAGAGGUGGGCGGAAUUCGUGGUGUCGCGGUGAAAUGCUUAGAUAUCACGAAGAACUCCGAUUGCGAAGGCAGUUCACUGGACUGCAACUGACACUGAGGCUCGAAAGUGUGGGUAUCAAACAGGAUUAGAUACCCUUGUAGUC
This 460-nucleotide ribosomal RNA is filed under the name uncultured bacterium. RNAcentral describes it as "partial 16S ribosomal RNA". It matches the Rfam family "Bacterial small subunit ribosomal RNA", at positions 338 to 795 of the family's 1533-position model. The record is from RNAcentral.